RNAcentral lists this ribosomal RNA (341 nucleotides) under Raphicerus campestris (steenbok). Its description in RNAcentral is "partial 16S ribosomal RNA". It matches the Rfam family "Bacterial large subunit ribosomal RNA", at positions 1966 to 2484 of the family's 2925-position model. The record is from RNAcentral. Lineage: Eukaryota; Metazoa; Chordata; Mammalia; Artiodactyla; Bovidae.
CAUUUGUUCUUUAAAUAAGGACUUGUAUGAAUGGCCACACGAGGGUUCCACUGUCUCUUACUUCUAAUCAGUGAAAUUGACCUCCCCGUGAAGAGGCGGGGAUAGCCAAAUAAGACGAGAAGACCCUAUGGAGCUUCAACUAACUAAUUCAAAGAGAAUAAGUUCAACCGCCAAGGGAUAAUCACAUCCUUCAUGAAUUAGCAGUUUCGGUUGGGGUGACCUCGGAGAACAAAAAAUCCUCCGAGCGAUUUUAAAGAUAAGACACACAAGUCAAACCAAACUAUCGCUUAUUGAUCCAAAAAUUGAUCAACGGAAUAAGUUACCCUAGGGAUAACAGCGCA